AUGAGAUUAAAACAUAAGCCAAGCUUGACGAGUUCAAAUACACGAAUUCUCUUGCUGCGAGUUAAAAAAAGUGCAUUAUUGUUCCCAGCGUUUGUAAACUGUCUGCUGGGGUACGAUAAUGCACUGUGCACCCGGUCCUUCACACGAUAUUACCAUCCAUACACUGAUCGGCAUGGUGCACGCAGAAAAGCAAAUCAACGUGCAUUUGCAGGGUAUGAUUUACACAAUCCCCUCUUUUUGCAGUACGCAAUGGAAAAAUUUGCAGUUCAAAAGUCGCAGCUUCCCACCUCAUCCAAAACGUACGGUAUCUGA
RNAcentral lists this ribosomal RNA (312 nucleotides) under Triticum aestivum (bread wheat). Its description in RNAcentral is "partial small subunit ribosomal RNA". The record is from RNAcentral. Lineage: Eukaryota; Viridiplantae; Streptophyta; Magnoliopsida; Poales; Poaceae.